GGAAAGUUGUAGAGUUAUGCCCUGGAAAGCGGGACAAGGAAUGCUAGAUGGUAGAUAACACAUGACUAAACGUAUGUCUUAGAAAUAGCCGCAGUGAAUUGUUUCAGAAAAACAAGAAGCAAAAUCUGCUCAAGAGGUAGAAGGAAAUAACCUGGGGAAGACAUUAGAAAGUGAGUGAUGUACAGGUCUGCUGGAAAGGAACUGAAGAAAAAAUAGAAAUGGAAACUUCCAGCCAAGAAACUUAGUUUUCUCCAUUAGGAAUUACUUGAGUUUGAUGAUAUGUUUCCCUUGUGGCGAGUAUGUUAGGGACACAAAGGAUGGAUGCAGGAGAUAGAGAUGAUGGCCCCAAUGACUGGAUGAUGGAGGGAAAGCUCAGUUGGAACAAAUUCGAUGAAAUGUUUGUUUAGACUUCAAGCUGGGGAAAUCAUCCCUUCUCCACCCCAUGUGGUCCUGGUGGAAUGUCUCUUACGACGCUCUUGCCACCUUCCAAUUAACCAGAUGAGUAGCCAGGAGGCCCAAGACGGCUAAAUAAAAUACACUCACCUCCUGAGGAUAAUAUGAGUCUUUUUAUGAGAUUUGGGAUCUACAUUAGGUCAGGAAAAAAGUCUCUGUUACUUCUGGGCCACCUGCCAGCAGAACGGAAGCUUGGAACCAUCAGCACCUGUGGUUCCUGCCACAAGGAGAGGGUCUGCCUAAGAACAACUCAUGUGCACAGAGAGAAGCAGAGUCAAUGGAUGGAGAGACAGUCCUCUGAGAACAUUAUUUAAGCCCAUGUAUCCAGUCUAUCUCAUCGAUCCCACUUUUGGAGCCAAUAAAUUCUUUUUUUUUAAGCUUAUUUGAGUUUUAAGCUGCAACUGAAAGAGUUCUAAAUGAUUUAAAGUGUUAUCCUUGUUUCGAGGAAAAGGAAACUAGCCUCCAAAUGUCACAUGACUUGUCCAAGAUCUCAUGAGGUGUCUUACGAGGUAAUAUCCAGUGGAACAUGGUCACAGUUCUGUCCAAUGCCCAUGAUCUUUGCAUAAUUGCAUUUUAAAAGUUUAAAAAAUGUAUUCGCAAUGAAACUCAUCCUUUUGCUGUGCAGUUUUAUGAGUUUUGGCCAGUGCACAGAUCUGAGUCACUGCCACCAGUUUCGGCACCCUCAAGGGCUCCCUCACACUGUUCCUUUGUAGUCAGACACUCCCCCUACUCUUAGCACUUGGCAACUACUGAUUUGUUCUCUGUCCCUAAAGUUUUGCCUUUUCUUCAGAAUGUCGUAUAAGUGGAAUCACACAGCCUUUUGAAUCCGGCUUCUUUUCACUUAGCAGUUGAAAUUCAUCCAUCCUGUUGGAUGUUACCAGCAUAAAUGCUUUAUGAAGGCAUGCUUCAAGCAGCUUCUCAAUCAUGUCCUCUUUGGUGUGAGUGGAGCAUCUACAGGUUUUAGAAAAGAGGAAAAGGGACACAUACUGGGUUGAAUAGUAUUCUACCAAGAUUUCCAUCCAACUGGAAUUUAGGAAUAUGAUCUUAUUUGGAAAUAGGGUCUUUGCAGAAAUAAUCAAGUGAAGAUGAUGUCAUUCUGGAUUAGGCUGGGACCUAAUCCAAUGACUAGUCUUCUUAGGAGAAGAGAGAAAUUUGGACACAAGGACACGAAGGGAGAGAAUGUCACAUGGCCACAGAAGCAGAGACUGGAGACAGGCAGCUGCAAACCAAGAAACGCCAAGAAUUGCCUGCAACCGUAAGAAGCUACAAAAGAGGCAUGGAACAGACUCGCCCUCAGAGGCUCCAUGUGGAUCUGACUUUGCUGACACCUUGAUUUUGGACUUGCAGCUUCCAGAACUGGCAGAGCAAGAUUUCUGCUUGAACUCACUUAGUCUGUGGUCAUUUGUUGUAGCGGCCCUUGGAAACUAAUACAGGAAGGUAUGAAGGUACAGGGCAUUGCCUUUAAGGCAGCUUCCACCCAAGAAAAGAGCCUAACUGAGGAAACAGGAUGCAUGAAGACUGAGUUCCUUCACUUUACAGUUUUGCCUUAGGAUGGGUUUGAUUGAAUUCUAGAGCCAAGUAGUAACAGCCUCAUGAAUACUGAUAUGUAUUUCCCCAGGUGUCAAAUGUAUGACUGCUACCUAAAAGGUGAAACCUGUUUUUAAAAUAUGAUAAACAAUGUAGAGAUCUAACUUUGGCCUCCCCAUCAACCACUUUUAAAAUAAACUCAUUCAAAAUCACCAUGUUACCAUUGUGGAAAAAAAAAAUGUUCAAGUUGGGGAGGAGGGGGCCACCUUUCAUCAAUCUUUUUAUUAGCAAUCUCCAGAAGAUUAAAGACUCAGGAAGUUAGGUAUUAAAAUUUAAUUAACUUUUCAAGUUACAUGAAAGAAAAAAAUAAGGAAAAUCCACAUUCCUAUACAGAAGAAAUCUUCUAAAGUGCAUCUCAGUCUGCUGCUUGGACUUGAGGUACAAAUUAGGGGAUGUUUUUAGGAGACAAAGAGUGUAUAGCAUUUUGAGACUUAAGAUGAACAGCCCAUGGGUAAUAACUGAGCAAGUUAGUCACAAGCAAAUUAGCAUUUUAGACAAGCCAAGAGAAUGGAUUUUUUUCCUUAAGAGAUAUUUAAUGUCUACACGAUAUUUAUUAUUGUUGAUUCAGCCAAAAAUAUCAGUUAAUCUACCUAAAAAAAUAGAUUGCUAUGUCUCACUGUCCAGAUUGAUUUGGUAAGCCUGAACUGGUGCCUAGGAAAUCUAUUUGAUUUUUUCCCAAAUUCUCCAGGUCAUCCUGAUGGACAACCAAGUUGGAGAACAGCUAAUAUGGAAAAUGCUCGCACAGAAAGAAGCUUUGAUCUCCCAAAGCCUGGGGAAUUAGAGCUGAGGUCAAUCCAAGGUCAAAUACCAAAAGCAAAAUAUUAGAAUGGAAGUAAUAUAAUACUUAGGGUCAAGAAGCAGAGGCAGGGUCCAAAGGGGAAAGUACAAUUUAGGGUGGAAGCAAGCUUCAUGAAACAGGAAGGGAGGUCAGAAUGCCAAUGAGAAGUCACAGUGAGCGCAGGCGAGGAUUGGAAAGCAGAACACAGAAGUCCUGGGAUUCAGAAUUUGAGGUUCAGUCAAACUCAGGACACGGUGAAGGCUUUACCUGCAUCAGAUUCCUGUCU
This is a non-coding RNA of Vicugna pacos (alpaca), 3104 nucleotides long. The record is from RefSeq and is a predicted model, not a curated record. NCBI's taxonomy places the organism in Eukaryota, Metazoa, Chordata, Mammalia, Artiodactyla, Camelidae.